RNAcentral lists this ribosomal RNA (482 nucleotides) under uncultured bacterium. RNAcentral describes it as "partial 16S ribosomal RNA". It matches the Rfam family "Bacterial small subunit ribosomal RNA", at positions 30 to 507 of the family's 1533-position model. The record is from RNAcentral.
AUUGAACGCUGGCGGCAUGCCUUACACAUGCAAGUCGAACGGUAACGGGCCUUCGGGUGCCGACGAGUGGCGAACGGGUGAGUAAUACAUCGGAACGUGCCCGAUCGUGGGGGAUAACGAGGCGAAAGCUUUGCUAAUACCGCAUACGAUCUACGGAUGAAAGCAGGGGACCGCAAGGCCUUGCGCGGACGGAGCGGCUGAUGGCAGAUUAGGUAGUUGGUGGGAUAAAAGCUUACCAAGCCGACGAUCUGUAGCUGGUCUGAGAGGAUGAUCAGCCACACUGGGACUGAGACACGGCCCAGACUCCUACGGGAGGCAGCAGUGGGGAAUUUUGGACAAAGGGCGCAAGCCUGAUCCAGCCAUGCCGCGUGCAGGAUGAAGGCCUUCGGGUUGUAAACUGCUUUUGUACGGAACGAAAAGCCUUCUUUUAAUACAGGAGGGUCAUGACGGUACCGUAAGAAUAAGCACCGGCUAACUACGUG